This 326-nucleotide ribosomal RNA is filed under the name uncultured bacterium. RNAcentral's name for it is "bacterial SSU rRNA". It matches the Rfam family "Bacterial small subunit ribosomal RNA", at positions 47 to 369 of the family's 1533-position model. The record is from RNAcentral.
CCUAACACAUGCAAGUCGAACGGUAACAGGAACAAACUUGCUUCUUUGCUGAGGAGUGGGGGACGGGUGAAUAAUGUCUGGAAAACUGCCUGAUGGAGGGGGAUAACUACUGAAAACGGUAGCUAAUACCGCAUAACGUCGCAAGACCACAGAGGGGGACCUUCUGGCCUCUUGCCAUCGGAUGUGCCCUGAUGGGAUUAUGUAGUAGGCGGGGUAACGGCUCACCUAGGCGACGAUCCCUAGCUGGUCUGAUAGGAUGACCAACCACACUGGAACUGAGGCACGGUCCAAACUCCUACGGGAAGCCCCAGUGGGGAAUAUUGCAC